CCUACGGGUGGCAGCCGUGAGGAAUAUUGGUCAAUGGGCGCGAGCCUGAACCAGCCAAGUCGCGUGAGGGAAGACGGCCCUACGGGUUGUAAACCUCUUUUUCCGGGGAGCAACGGGCGCCACGUGUGGCGCCACUGAGAGUACCCGGAGUAAAAGCCUCGGCUAACUCCGUGCCAGCAGCCGCUGUAAUACGGAGGAUGCGAGCGUUAUCCGGAUUUAUUGGGUUUAAAGUGUGCGUAGGCGGUGCGUUAAGUCAGGGGUAAAAUUGAGGGUCUCAACCCUUUCCCGCCAUUGAAACUGGCGCUCUUGAGUGGAAGAGAAGUAUGAGGAAUGCGUGGUGUAGCGGUGAAAUGCAUAGAUAUCACGCAGAACCCCGAUUGCGAAGGCAGCAUGCCGGCUUCCGACUGACGCUGAAGCACGAAAGCGUGGGGAUCGAACAGGAUUAGAUACCCUUGUAGUC
Molecule: ribosomal RNA, 460 nt
Filed under: uncultured bacterium
Lineage: Bacteria
Description: partial 16S ribosomal RNA
Rfam family: Bacterial small subunit ribosomal RNA
Source: RNAcentral